UACGAAGGGGGCUAGCGUUGUUCGGAUUUACUGGGCGUAAAGCGUGCGCAGGCGGUUUUGUAAGUCUGUCGUGAAAUCCCCCGGGCUCAACCUGGGAAUUGCGAUGGAGACUGCAAGGCUAGAAUCUGGCAGAGGGGGGUAGAAUUCCACGUGUAGCAGUGAAAUGCGUAGAGAUGUGGAGGAACACCGAUGCGAAGGCAGCCCCUGGGUCAAGAUUGACGCUCAUGCACGAAAGCGUGGGGAGCAACAGG
Molecule: ribosomal RNA, 251 nt
Filed under: uncultured bacterium
Lineage: Bacteria
Description: partial 16S ribosomal RNA
Rfam family: Bacterial small subunit ribosomal RNA
Source: RNAcentral